GUUCUGUGUCUGGAGCCCUGGGCGGGCUGUCAGGCUGAGAGGACCCAAGAACAUUGGUGGAGAAGAAGCGAGAGGGGAUGAUUAUAUUUCCAAGAAUUCCUUUUGGGGAGAGAUCCCCAUCCACCGUUCACCACUGUUGCUUGCAAUCCUUCUCCUUGAGAUUUUUCUGGAAACACAAUGCCUCUGUGGAUUACAAUUUCGGCGGGACCCCUUUCAACUAAAACUCGGUCAAAGAGGGGAAGAAACUUUCUAAACGCCUGUUCUGCCAUCACUCCAGCCGCCCCAGUUGGUAGUCUGAAAGACGGCCACCUGGAGGUGUGCCCCGAGUCACUGUGAAAUUCCGGUUCAGUUUUACUACUUGAUAAAGCCCAGCCAUUCAGUGCGA
Neofelis nebulosa (Clouded leopard) is the source of this 385-nucleotide long non-coding RNA. RefSeq lists it as uncharacterized. The record is from RefSeq and is a predicted model, not a curated record. The transcript is spliced from 2 exons. NCBI's taxonomy places the organism in Eukaryota, Metazoa, Chordata, Mammalia, Carnivora, Felidae.